UUGACCUCGGAUCAGGUAGGGAUACCCGCUGAACUUAAGCAUAUCAAUAAGCGGAGGAAAAGAAACCAACCGGGAUUACCCUAGUAACGGCGAGUGAAGCGGUAAGAGCUCAAAUUUGAAAGCUGGCCCCUUCGGGGUCCGCAUUGUAAUUUGCAGAGGAUGCUUCGGGAGCGGUCCCCAUCUAAGUGCCCUGGAACGGGCCGUCAUAGAGGGUGAGAAUCCCGUAUGGGAUGGGGUGCCCGCGCCCGUGUGAAGCUCCUUCGACGAGUCGAGUUGUUUGGGAAUGCAGCUCUAAUUGGGUGGUAAAUUUCAUCUAAAGCUAAAUAUUGGCCGGAGACCGAUAGCGCACAAGUAGAGUGAUCGAAAGAUGAAAAGCACUUUGAAAAGAGAGUUAAAAAGCACGUGAAAUUGUUGAAAGGGAAGCGCUUGCGAUCAGACUCGCUCGCGGGGUUCAGCCGGCCUUCGGGCCGGUGUACUUCCCCGCGGGCGGGCCAGCGUCGGUUUGGGCGGCCGGUCAAAGGCCCCUGGAAUGUAACGCCUCUCGGGGCGUCUUAUAGCCAGGGGUGCCAUGCGGCCUGCCCGGACCGAGGAACGCGCUUCGGCUCGGACGCUGGCAUAAUGGUCGUAAGCGACC
Molecule: ribosomal RNA, 634 nt
Filed under: Penicillium shearii
Lineage: Eukaryota; Fungi; Ascomycota; Eurotiomycetes; Eurotiales; Aspergillaceae
Description: eukaryotic LSU rRNA
Rfam family: Eukaryotic large subunit ribosomal RNA
Source: RNAcentral